Long non-coding RNA from Octopus sinensis (East Asian common octopus), 150 nucleotides. RefSeq lists it as uncharacterized. The record is from RefSeq and is a predicted model, not a curated record. Lineage: Eukaryota; Metazoa; Mollusca; Cephalopoda; Octopoda; Octopodidae. The transcript is spliced from 3 exons.
UACAAAAUAAGAAAAUGGACAAAUACAUCUAAAUCUAAUAUCGAUUACCAGAUAAUACUCAAUCACAUACUUUAUUAAACCACCACAUAAGAAACUGUAAGGACAAACAUAAUAAAGUAGAACAACAUAUUGGCUCUUUUGUGUAGUGGU